This 468-nucleotide ribosomal RNA is filed under the name uncultured bacterium. Its description in RNAcentral is "partial 16S ribosomal RNA". It matches the Rfam family "Bacterial small subunit ribosomal RNA", at positions 28 to 507 of the family's 1533-position model. The record is from RNAcentral.
GACGAACGCUGGCGGCGUGCUUAACACAUGCAAGUCGAACGGAAAGGCCCUGCUUUUGUGGGGUGCUCGAGUGGCGAACGGGUGAGUAACACGUGAGUAACCUGCCCUUGACUUUGGGAUAACUUCAGGAAACUGGGGCUAAUACCGGAUAGGAGCUCCUGCUGCAUGGUGGGGGUUGGAAAGUUUCGGCGGUUGGGGAUGGACUCGCGGCUUAUCAGCUUGUUGGUGGGGUAGUGGCUUACCAAGGCUUUGACGGGUAGCCGGCCGGAGAGGGUGACCGGCCACAUUGGGACUAAGAUACGGCCCAGCCUACUACGGGAGGCAGCAGUGGGGAAUAUUGCACAAUGGGCGGAAGACUGAUGAAGCAACGCCGCGUGCGGGAUGACGGCCUUCGGGUUGUAAACAGCUUUCGCCUGUGACGAAGAGUGAGUGACGGUAAUGGGUAAAGAAGCACCGGCUAACUACGUG